UACGGGGGGGGCAAGCGUUGUUCGGAAUUACUGGGCGUAAAGGGCUCGUAGGUGGCCAACUAAGUCAGACGUGAAAUCCCUCGGCUUAACCGGGGAACUGCGUCUGAUACUGGAUGGCUUGAGUUCGGGAGAGGGAUGCGGAAUUCCAGGUGUAGCGGUGAAAUGCGUAGAUAUCAAGAGGAACACCUGAGGUGAAGACGGGUUGCUGGGCUGACACUGACGCUGAGGCGCGAAAGCCAGGGGAGCAAACGGG
Molecule: ribosomal RNA, 253 nt
Filed under: uncultured bacterium
Lineage: Bacteria
Description: partial 16S ribosomal RNA
Rfam family: Bacterial small subunit ribosomal RNA
Source: RNAcentral